AAGACCUUGCGCUUUUGGAGCGGCCGAUGCCUGAUUAGCUAGUUGGUAGGGUAAUGGCCUACCAAAGCUUCGAUCAGUAGCUGGUCUGAGAGGACGACCAGCCACACUGGGACUGAGACACGGCCCAGACUCCUACGGGAGGCAGCAGUGGGGAAUUUUGGACAAUGGGCGCAAGCCUGAUCCAGCCAUGCCGCGUGAGUGAAGAAGGCCUUCGGGUUGUAAAGCUCUUUCAGCCGGGAAGAAAAGGCUACGACGAAUAAUCGUAGCUCAUGACGGUACCGGAAGAAGAAGCACCGGCUAACUACGUGCCAGCAGCCGCGGUAAUACGUAGGGUGCGAGCGUUAAUCGGAAUUACUGGGCGUAAAGGGUGCGCAGGCGGUUUUGUAAGUCAGAUGUGAAAUCCCCGGGCUUAACCUGGGAACU
RNAcentral lists this ribosomal RNA (423 nucleotides) under uncultured bacterium. Its description in RNAcentral is "bacterial SSU rRNA". It matches the Rfam family "Bacterial small subunit ribosomal RNA", at positions 207 to 622 of the family's 1533-position model. The record is from RNAcentral.